This 289-nucleotide long non-coding RNA is filed under the name Rattus norvegicus (Norway rat). RNAcentral describes it as "long non-coding RNA NONRATT005413". The record is from RNAcentral. Lineage: Eukaryota; Metazoa; Chordata; Mammalia; Rodentia; Muridae.
UGAAGAAUAUCCAAAUAAACCACCAACCGUUAGGUUUUUAUCCAAAAUGUUUCAUCCAAAUGCAUAUGCUUAGACAUCCUGCAGAACCGAUGGAGCCCCACGUACGACGUCUCCUCCAUCUUAACUUCAAUUCAGUCUCUGUUGGAUGAGCCGAAUCCAAACAGUCCGGCCAAUAGCCAAGCAGCACAGCUUUAUCAGGAAAACAAACGGGAGUAUGAGAAGAGGGUUUCGGCCAUUGUUGAGCAGAGCUGGAAUGACUCAUAAUAGACACCUGGUCUGUCCACCUUUC